Long non-coding RNA from Vidua macroura (Pin-tailed whydah), 1090 nucleotides. RefSeq lists it as uncharacterized. NCBI's taxonomy places the organism in Eukaryota, Metazoa, Chordata, Aves, Passeriformes, Viduidae. The record is from RefSeq and is a predicted model, not a curated record. The transcript has 3 exons.
UAAUGUUCAAGGUCAUUACAGGAACAGCCAUAAGGUGUCACAAUUGCCCCAUGUUCCAAGUACCUGUCCCAGAAAACAGUGUAAUUUGUACACUCAAACUCUGCUGUUAUUUACAGAGUGCUCACCAGGGUUCACAAGUUGUAUUUCAAGGUGCUGAAAAAACAUAUAGUUGCCAUGUACUUGACAUUAAACUAAGCUUUACAAAAGAUCUUUCCACAUCAGGAACAAGGGACAAAAAAGAAAGUGGAAAGCUUCUGCUUAUAUAAGUAAUGUAGAGUGUAACAAAGUAAUUUUGACAACUGCAGGACUCAGGAAGAGGUUUAAUGAGGAAGAGCCAAAAGGAUGUAAACCUGCACUUUACUCCCUGAGGGGCUUUUUCAAGUGUCAUAUUCUUGCACCAGCAUUUACUUGUAUCUGGGACAGGACUGGUGCCUGGUGGUUGCAUGUUGCCCUGAUUCUUAAAAGUGUUAAGUUUUCUUUUAUAAAUCUUUUGAACGUUUUAAAGUUCUCAUAAAACUUCUUUAGCCUUCUGAUAAGGUUAACAUAUUUCUACUAGAGUUCUCACACGCUGUUCAUGUAAAUAAUGAUUGUUUUGCAUUCUUCAUUGUGGGAAGAGAGAAUUAAUAGACUGUUAGCUUAACCAGUGUGGUUGGAGAAGUAGCAAUUUCAUCCUCCAAUCCACUGUCACUUUUGGAAUUCUAUGUAUUGCGAGGUCAAAAACAAAAUUAUCUCUUUUUCUCUCUAAAACUCGCCAAGCUUCUGUGUACUCAUUUCGUGUCCAAUAGCAACAGUUGCAGGAGCAGCCAUCGGGUGUCAGGAUUGCCCCACGCUGCAGCUUCACUUGGUCACUGAGGAUGGAAGGAUACCUGGAAUUUUAUUCCUUUUGCCAGUGGAAAACAAUGCUAGAUCUGCUUGUAUGUUUAGAGCAAGAUGGAUAAUGUGGAACUUUAGUGAUGUGUGAGGAUGCAGAUAAAGGUUGGAACUUGUGCUUUAGUGGAAGCCACAAAUAACACCCUGAAGACACUGAGCUUCAUGAUUAGACCAAGUAUAAAAGCAAAUAAAAUGUGAGCUGUGUCUCACACGCAACCAA